Molecule: ribosomal RNA, 512 nt
Filed under: uncultured bacterium
Lineage: Bacteria
Description: partial 16S ribosomal RNA
Rfam family: Bacterial small subunit ribosomal RNA
Source: RNAcentral
GACGAACGCUGGCGGCGUGCUUAACACAUGCAAGUCGAACGGAGAUUCAGCAAUGGAUCUUAGUGGCGAACGGGUGAGUAACGCGUAGGCAAUCUGCCUUCUAGAUGGGGACAACAUCCCGAAAGGGGUGCUAAUACCGAAUGUUGUAGUUGGUUCGCGUGGACUAGCUACUAAAGGUGGCCUCUGAAUAUGCUACCGCUAGAAGAUGAGCCUGCGUCUGAUUAGCUAGUUGGAGGGGUAACGGCCCACCAAGGCUUCGAUCAGUAGCCGGUCUGAGAGGAUUAACGGCCACACUGGGACUGAGACACGGCCCAGACUCCUACGGGAGGCAGCAGUGGGGAAUCUUCCGCAAUGGACGAAAGUCUGACGGAGCAACGCCGCGUGAGUGAAGAAGGUUUUCGGAUCGUAAAGCUCUUUCGUUAGGGACGAACGUGCUCUUUGUGAAUAAUGAGGAGUAAUGACGGUGCCUAAAUAAGAAGCCACGGCUAACUACGUGCCAGCAGCCGCCGUAA